RNA transcript from Scylla paramamosain (green mud crab), 1390 nucleotides. It is a transcript of the gene named histone-binding protein N1/N2-like, with no coding region annotated. The transcript is spliced from 4 exons. The record is from RefSeq and is a predicted model, not a curated record. Lineage: Eukaryota; Metazoa; Arthropoda; Malacostraca; Decapoda; Portunidae.
GUAAACGUAAGGUGAGUCAGUUUUGCGUGAUUAUAGAUUUGCUCAAGUCAGUUUGCGUUACUUUAUAUUUCCAUGCGAGUUAGUUUUCUUAAUUCCUGCGUGCGUGAGUGAGUGUGUGGAUCAGAAAGUUUGCGUGCAGGUCGCCGCCGCCAAGGAUGAGACCGAUAGUCUUUGUAAUAGUUUCUCAUCCUUGGUCGCCGCCACCUGGCAGAUUUGAAAUAGCGCGCCUGAGAGCAGAGCGGCGCGUUGGUGUGCGCAAUUUGGCGGGAAACUGUGUUGUGCUUUCCCCGUGUGUUUGUGUGACUGUACCUCUGUUUCUGACGCUCCCUUUCCUUCACCAUGGCUUCUACCACACCCUCUACUAAGGCACAGGCAGACUCCACCACAACCCAACAACCUACUACAGAUGAAAAAGUACAUGCGGCAAGUGCAGCAGCGUUCGACCGUUUCUCUCAGGGCAAGCGACACCUCCUGGUGGGGGACUUCAAAUCUGCUGUCACUGCCUUCAAGGAGGCAACAGAGUCCCUGGUGGAGCUGUAUGGGGAGCAGGCGCCGGAGUGUGGUGACACGUACUACCACUAUGGCCGUGCAUUGCUGGAGCUGGCACGCAAGGAGGCAGGGGUGCUGGGGCCAGAUCUGGAUGGUGCCAGUAGUCAGGAGGGAAGCACAGGGGAGGAGGAGGACGAGGAGGAAGAGAGUGAAGAGUCACAAGAGGAGGAGGAAGGUGGAAAGAAAGAGGAAGGAGAGGAGGAGGAGGAGGAGGAGGAGGAAGAUGGAGAAGGAAAGGAGAAAGAUAAGAAGGAAGGAAAUGCCGCAGAAGGAGAAGGUGAGUUGUUAAUGAGGUUUUGUGUGCUAAGUUUUCUGAAAAUUUUAUUUGUUUACAUGAAGUUUGUUUUGUAUAUUACUCUUAAUAUACUACUUCUCCCACCACAUGCAAUUUGUCUGUCUGCUGUUGUGGUUCUUUCAUUUCUUGUUCCCUUUCCUGAAUAUACCAUUUCCUUAGUUUCAUAUCUAGUACCCUCCAAUAAAAUUUCUGCUUCUCGGUCUCUGUACUUCUCUCGUUUUUUUUGCUUGGCUUCAUUCCUCAGAUCCUUCUCUUUUUCCCUUUCUUCCAAGUUCAUAUCUCUUUUUUACCCAAAUAUUCUUGUAUUCUGAAUUUUCAGCCAGCUUCCCAGUUCUCACUAGGAUCUCCUUUACUGUAACUUGGGAUCUCAUUCUCACUUUUAAUGGUCUUUUACCUCCUUCACUAUAUUUUCCAAUUCUAUAUGCUUCUUCCACUUCUCAUUCCAGUCCCUGUUCUUCACCUUGGACCAUUGUAAUAAUUUUCCUUACCAACUCCUCUCUCUCUCUCUCUCUCUCUCUCUCUCUCUCUCUCUCUCUCUCUCUCUCU